AUGGGCACGGCAUACCAUGCCCUAUGCCAACCACCUACCACCCUCUGGCUUUCUCCGUUGUGGAAAGCCCCCUUACCCUUACGCUCAAAAAAAGCCCCCUUAUCCUUAAAGAUUAAUAUUUUCAUGUGGCAGUUACUACGGGGUCGCCUCCCCUCGGGGACAGAGGUACUUAAGCAGCACGAACCUGGCGAUGGCUUAUUCCCCCUCUGUGAAGUACCGGAGACCGGACGCGUAUCCUUUUCUCCUGUACGGCGAUGCGGUUAUUAUGGACAUUUGUCCGCGAGGCGUUGGGGCCCGACUAGGAGGCCCUGA
This 312-nucleotide ribosomal RNA is filed under the name Triticum aestivum (bread wheat). RNAcentral describes it as "partial small subunit ribosomal RNA". The record is from RNAcentral. Lineage: Eukaryota; Viridiplantae; Streptophyta; Magnoliopsida; Poales; Poaceae.